This 602-nucleotide ribosomal RNA is filed under the name uncultured fungus. RNAcentral describes it as "eukaryotic LSU rRNA". The stretch from base 234 to 387 matches the Rfam family "5.8S ribosomal RNA". The record is from RNAcentral. Lineage: Eukaryota; Fungi.
UCUUGGUCAUUUAGAGGAAGUAAAAGUCGUAACAAGGUCUCCGUUGGUGAACCAGCGGAGGGAUCAUUACCGAGUUAUACAACUCCCAAACCCCAUGUGAACCUUACCUAUUGUUGCUUCGGCGGGAUCGCCCCGGUGCCUCUGUCGCCCGGAACCAGGCGCCCGCCGGAGGUCUCUAAACUCUUGUUUGUCUGGUGGUAUUAUCUGAGUGGCGCAAGCAAAAAUAAAAUCAAAACUCUCAACAACGGAUCUCUUGGUUCUGGCAUCGAUGAAGAACGCAGCGAAAUGCGAUAAGUAAUGUGAAUUGCAGAAUUCAGUGAAUCAUCGAAUCUUUGAACGCAUAUUGCGCCCGCUAGUAUUCUAGCGGGCAUGCCUGUUCGAGCGUCAUUUGAACCCUCAAGCCCCAUUGGCUUGGUGUUGGGGAUCGGCCGCUGCGGCUCUGAGCUGCGGCAGGCCGGCCCCGAAAUCUAGUGGCGGUCUCGCUGUAGCCUCCUCUGCGUAGUAGCAACACCUCGCUCUGGAAGACAGCGUGGCCACGCCGUAAAACCCCCAAGUUUUACUAAGGUUGACCUCGGAUCAGGUAGGAAUACCCGCUGAACUUA